CUAGGGUAGAAUUCUCCACGAGACUUCGGUUUCGUAUUGAAUUCGCUUGGAACAAAGAAGCCAAAUCAGGCUUCGACAUGCGGAAUUUCGCCGUCUUCGUUUCUCUUUCUUAAAUUCCGGGCGAAAGCGCCUGGCCCGUCGGCAUCGGCCGACCGGGGCCGGUGCUUUCAAUGGGCCAACGCUUCAGGUCUUUCUCAGAUCUUUGCGGGUUCUUGGCCGCGAGGAGAUCCUCGAGGUUUCGGACCUCGGGCCUGUAGCUCAGUUGGUUAGAGCGCGCGCUUGAUAAGCGUGAGGUCGGAGGUUCAAAUCCUCCCAGGCCCACCAUCACCUGCGCUCAGCUACGCAAACCUGGUUGGUUUGGUUCGUUUGAACCAUGUCUUGACGGGGCCAUAGCUCAGCUGGGAGAGCGCCUGCUUUGCAAGCAGGAUGUCGUCGGUUCGAUCCCGUCUGGCUCCACCAAGACCUUCUUUUUGUUACCAGGUUUCGGCAGUUUUGAUGGUGGAUCGCUUGGCGAGCCACUUCCUCAUCCGCAUUAAACAGUUUUGUCACCGGGACAGCAUGCUUUGCAUGUCUGGAUUGGUCGACAUGUUAUCUGACAUCGUAAAGAGAAGAUUCAUUCCGAGUGUCCCUCAUCAGGACACGUCCCCAGAUCUGCAGGCUUGACCGCAUGCAAUCGGGAUGGAUCUCGAAGAAACUGGUUUUAACGUCAUCGAUGUUGUCCCGCGCCGAGCGGGAUGAGCAUCGAUAAUGAGAGUG
This 756-nucleotide transfer RNA is filed under the name uncultured bacterium. RNAcentral's name for it is "16S-23S ribosomal RNA intergenic spacer". The stretch from base 248 to 321 matches the Rfam family "tRNA". The record is from RNAcentral.